UGGGGAAUUUUGGACAAUGGGCGAAAGCCUGAUCCAGCAAUGCCGCGUGUGUGAAGAAGGCCUUCGGGUUGUAAAGCACUUUUGUCCGGAAAGAAAUCCUUGGCUCUAAUACAGUCGGGGGAUGACGGUACCGGAAGAAUAAGCACCGGCUAACUACGUGCCAGCAGCCGCGGUAAUACGUAGGGUGCAAGCGUUAAUCGGAAUUACUGGGCGUAAAGCGUGCGCAGGCGGUUUGCUAAGACCGAUGUGAAAUCCCCGGGCUCAACCUGGGAACUGCAUUGGUGACUGGCAGGCUAGAGUAUGGCAGAGGGGGGUAGAAUUCCACGUGUAGCAGUGAAAUGCGUAGAGAUGUGGAGGAAUACCGAUGGCGAAGGCAGCCCCCUGGGCCAAUACUGACGCUCAUGCACGAAAGCGUGGGGGAGCAAAACAGGAUUAGAUACCCUGGUAGUCCCACGCCCUAAAACGAUGUCAACUAGUUGUUGGGGAUUCAUUUCCUUAGUAACGUAGCUAACGCGUGAAGUUGACCGCCUGGGGAGUACGGUCGCAAGAUUAAAACUUAAAUGAAUUGACGGGGUCAUAGCUGUUUCCU
Molecule: ribosomal RNA, 589 nt
Filed under: uncultured bacterium
Lineage: Bacteria
Description: partial 16S ribosomal RNA
Rfam family: Bacterial small subunit ribosomal RNA
Source: RNAcentral